CAUUUCCCAAUAUUGCCACAAGAAUCGUAGAAGAAUUUCUGAAUACAUUUAAUUAGCUUGAAAACUGAAGAUUGUGAACAAAAAAUAAUGUGUCAAUAUGCAUGUUUGGGCUCAAGGAUUGGUUGUGUUCUUGUUAUAGUUGCAGCAGGUGCUUUUGUAUCUCCAUUCUCCAACAGAAGUCAUAUGAAGAGAUAAAAUGCUUUGGGUUACACACAAGUACAGAUUUCAUCAAUGUUAUUGUGACUAAGCAGGAAU
Non-coding RNA from Lupinus albus (white lupine), 255 nucleotides. NCBI's taxonomy places the organism in Eukaryota, Viridiplantae, Streptophyta, Magnoliopsida, Fabales, Fabaceae. The record is from the annotation of a GenBank genome assembly.